CAAGCGGUAGUUCCUAGGUAGAGCUCCCGCUUCGUAUGCGGGAAGACAUGGGUUCGAUUCUCGGCCGCUUAC
This 72-nucleotide transfer RNA is filed under the name Toxocara canis (dog roundworm). It matches the Rfam family "tRNA". From Rfam's summary of the family: Transfer RNA (tRNA) molecules are approximately 80 nucleotides in length. Lineage: Eukaryota; Metazoa; Nematoda; Chromadorea; Rhabditida; Toxocaridae. The record is from Rfam by way of RNAcentral.